RNAcentral lists this ribosomal RNA (459 nucleotides) under uncultured bacterium. RNAcentral describes it as "partial 16S ribosomal RNA". It matches the Rfam family "Bacterial small subunit ribosomal RNA", at positions 338 to 795 of the family's 1533-position model. The record is from RNAcentral.
CCUACGGGCGGCAGCAGUGAGGAAUAUUGGUCAAUGGCCGGAAGGCUGAACCAGCCAAGCCGCGUGAAGGACGAAGGUGCCAAGCAUUGUAAACUUCUUUUGUCAAGGGACAAAAUCAGGCUCGAGAGCCUGACCGAGGGUACUUGAAGAAAAAGCAUCGGCUAACUCCGUGCCAGCAGCCGCGGUAAUACGGAGGAUGCGAGCGUUAUCCGGAUUUAUUGGGUUUAAAGGGUGCGUAGGCGGGCUGUUAAGUCAGCGGUAAAAGCCCGGGGCUCAACCCCGGCGAGCCGUUGAAACUGGCUGUCUUGAGAUGGCGGGAGGUAUGCGGAAUGUGCAGUGUAGCGGUGAAAUGCUUAGAUAUGGCGAAGAACUCCGAUUGCGAAGGCAGCGUACCGGAGCCGGACUGACGCGGAGGCACGAAAGCGUGGGUAUCGAACAGGAUUAGAUACCCGGGUAGUC